UAAGAACACCCGCUGAACUUAAGCAUAUCAAUAAGCGGAGGA
RNAcentral lists this ribosomal RNA (42 nucleotides) under uncultured Glomus. RNAcentral describes it as "partial 28S ribosomal RNA". The record is from RNAcentral. Lineage: Eukaryota; Fungi; Glomeromycota; Glomeromycetes; Glomerales; Glomeraceae.